UCUUUCUAUUGCCUUCCCAGUUUGCAUGCUUUGUUGAAACGCAACACCAUUGGAGAGAUCCAUGGGGCAAGGAACUGAGGUGCUCAGUCGAAUUGCUCUCAAGGCACUGAAUGCUGACAACAACACUGAGUUCCAACCUCUGUGCCAUCCCCACCUCUCCACACCAACCUCAGAAAGGCUGGCUUCCUCUUAACCCACCGACGGGCAACAACGGAGAUAAAAGCUUCGUCGUGCAUUUAUGCAUUUGCUCAACUACUCCACGGAUGUUUACCAAGUCCUGUCGCAUGCUGUCCGCUCUUCUUGAAUGUUUAUACCCUGUAUGUUGGAAGUUCCUUUGUAAAAUGACUGAAAUAUCUGCCUUCAAGCAAUCGAUGAACUUCACGUAA
Long non-coding RNA from Equus caballus (horse), 386 nucleotides. RefSeq lists it as uncharacterized. The record is from RefSeq and is a predicted model, not a curated record. Lineage: Eukaryota; Metazoa; Chordata; Mammalia; Perissodactyla; Equidae.